GAUGAAGAACGUAGUGAAAUGCGAUAAGUAAUGUGAAUUGCAGAAUUCAGUGAAUCAUCGAAUCUUUGAACGCACCUUGCGCCUUUUGGUAUUCCGAAAGGCACACCUGUUUGAGCGUCAUGAAUACCUCAAUCUCCAUCUUUUCUUCGGAUUGAUGGGUGACUUGGAUGUUGAGCCCUGCUGGUAUGCUAUAUCAGCUGGCUUUAAACUUAUUAGCCGGCUCUGUACUGGAUCGGUUUGACUCGACGUGAUAAUAUUAUCGUUGAGGAUGCAUGUCUCAUGCAGCCGGAAAGUAUCAAAGCAGCUUCUAGCUUGCCUUUAGUGCACUUUUACAUUUUAGACCUCAGAUCAGGUGGGACUACCCGCUGAACUUAAGCAUAUCAAUAAGCGGGGA
RNAcentral lists this unclassified non-coding RNA (394 nucleotides) under soil metagenome. Its description in RNAcentral is "partial contains 5.8S ribosomal RNA, internal transcribed spacer 2, and large subunit ribosomal RNA". The stretch from base 1 to 120 matches the Rfam family "5.8S ribosomal RNA", at positions 35 to 154 of the family's 154-position model. The record is from RNAcentral.